GAUCUGACCGAAACAGGCGAUGAAGACCAGCAGUGCAGCCACUGGCGCCGGCAACCUCCACACACCCCUCCUCGAGCUCUUAAACUGUGACUUCCUUGGUCGGCUCCAAACCUGCAUCGAGCAGAUCAUCUCAGAAAAAUGCAAUACUGUACUCCAUUAACUCAAGCAAGGAGAGAAAAAGAAUAUGUUCCAUCAAUGUUAUUCUAAUUUGAUACUAAUAAGAAAUAAUGUCAGAAGUACACCGGUCCUUGAUUUUGUUUUCUUAGCUAGGGUCACUUGUAGGUUGUAGUAGAUGUAUUAACGAACAGAAAUAGAUCAAGUCUGCAUUUUUGUGCUGGCUGGAGACCUACUGCUUCUGUAUCUUGUUGUAUACAAUUCAAAUGAUGCAGAAAUUAUGAACUUGAGACUGAGACACCAUGUAGUAGAUUGGAUAUUGUUUGACAUCAAACACAUAUUGAGUAUUUACAACAAUCUCUUGUGAGAGGGCCACUAACAGCAAUGGGAGAGUAAUGCAACAUAAGUUCUAUGCAAGGAGAUUAACAUAAAUUAAUAGAGUUAUAAAAAUCAAGGCAACAAACCUCUUUAGAGAAGGCUAAUAUUUAUUUCUUAACUGAGGUGCUAAAACCACACAAAAACUUACAAAUACUAAUUUUUAAGAGUGACAAUAUGAGAUCGGUCUCCCUAGAAUUAGUACAUACUACACAAUGCGUUGACAGUAUAUGGCAAACAAAGACAUGUGCAUAAUCUAGAAGACAACCAUGCUAGCAUAUUCAUGAGGCAGCGAAGACAACAUAUGAAACCUGAACCUGCAUCAUUGUACUGUUUAGUCUUUCCUUUCCUUUUUAUACCAUGUCUUUUGUUCCACAUGUUCCUCUGAAUUUUCACUUGAACAACUUUCGGUUGAACUAAAAGACAAUACCACCAAUGUCAAUUACCAAGAUGACAAUAAGAAAAAAAUUGUUAGCAACCUGCGAGAGGUUAGCCAACAUAUUCCGUAGCUGAUGGUCCAUCUUCGCAUGUAAAAAUUCAGAAUAGAGGUGUGUCUUUGUCAGCGGCUCGUCUAACCUGCAGAAUCGUGCAUCAUUCUAUCAUUCCCUUGCUUAUAGAAGCACUACUCACUGGACCACUCAGCAAUCACACAAUUAAACUCCCCAUGUAAGAUUUUCACACAAUUUAAUUAGCAAGAUGAGUGUCCUCAACUGAAAGUGCAUAUAUUGGUUCAAAAGGAAAGUGUGAUAACUGAAUUAAUCAAGUAGAUAUUGAGGUUAAUGUACGUAUGUAUUCUUACCUGAGCCUCUUGUAGGAUUUGGGUAAGCUUCUUGGUGACCACUCGUUAAAGUCCUCCUGCAAUGAUGGCGGCUGGGUGGAGAGGAUCUGGAGGAUCUUGUCUGGCAUGGGGCAGCUGCUCUACUCCUCGAUGAGGCGCCGUAUGGCAGCAGUAAGCCACAUCAUCGCCACAGGGGAGCGCAGCAGGCGCGAUGCCUAUACCUCGCAGGGCAGCGCGCACGAGCAGGCGUAGGGUGGGGGUGUCCGUGCGCGCGAGACGCCUCGCCACCGCCGCCGUCCCCAUGCGUCUCCUGGACUUGGAACGGGAGGAGGGAUGCCGGCGAGGUCGAGGCUUGAGGGAGAGGAAGGCGUCGGAGGGAUAGAUACCUCUUCUCCCGGCGUGGAUUUCGGCCGCGGACUCAGCAAGGAAGGCGGCUGCGGCGACGCCGGCGGCAACCGCCCGUGCGUGGGGAACAGGAAGGGGAUCGUGGCGUGAUGUAUGUUUUGAGGGCUGCGGCUUG
RNAcentral lists this long non-coding RNA (1787 nucleotides) under Triticum aestivum (bread wheat). RNAcentral describes it as "long non-coding RNA (TAES_LNC005737)". Lineage: Eukaryota; Viridiplantae; Streptophyta; Magnoliopsida; Poales; Poaceae. The record is from RNAcentral.